Molecule: ribosomal RNA, 965 nt
Filed under: Phacus raciborskii
Lineage: Eukaryota; Euglenozoa; Euglenophyceae; Euglenales; Phacaceae
Description: eukaryotic LSU rRNA
Rfam family: Eukaryotic large subunit ribosomal RNA
Source: RNAcentral
ACCAGCUGGCUGGUUCCAUGAGGUGACUUCUGCCCAGUGCUCUGAUUGUCAAUGCGAAGAGAUUCAGCCAAGCGCGGGUCAACGGCGGGAGUAACUAUGACUCUCUUAAGGUAGCCAAAUGCCUCGUCAACCAAUUAUUGACGCGCAUGAAUGGAUCAACGAGAUUCCUGCUGUCCCUAGCUGCUGUCUGGUGAACCAACAGCCAAGGGAACGGGCUUGGAUGUGUCAGCGGGGAAAGAAGACCCUGUUGAGUUUGACUCUAGUUUGAUGCUGUGCAACGACAUGUGGGGUGUAGCACAGGUGGGAGGCAAGUGCCAUCCAGGAGAGUCCCUUGUGGACCAGGUGAGACCAUGUGCUUCACAGCACUCAUGGAAGGUUCCUGCAGUGAUCCUGGUGCAAGCCAGCAGUGAAAUACCACUACCUUCACCGUCGUUUUACUCAUCGAGUGGCUUGGGAACAGUGGCCAAUCAACAGUCAGUCACUGCACUCCUGUGGUGGCUGGGGCCUUGACCUGCUUCGUGAGUCAAGCACUGUGCUCUGUGCAGUGUGACCCAGAGCUUCUGCUCUGGUCCAUGGAUUGGUGCCUCGGGACAAUGAUCAGUUGGGGAGUUUGGCUGGGGCGGCACGCCUGUUACAGGACAACGCAGGCGUCCUGAAGCAUUGCUCAGAUGGAACAGAACUCUGCCAUGGAGGAGCAGGCCAAAGGUGCUGCUGAUGCUGUGACUUCCAGUACAAGUCCAAAAUGUGCAAGCAUGGCCUUACGAUCCUUUGGUCACCCACUCGGGUCCAGGGUAUUGGAGCCAGAGGUGUCAGAAAAAUUACCACAGGGAUAACUGGCUUGUGGCUGCCAAGCGUUCAAAGCGACGUUGCUUUUUGAUCCUUCGAUGUCGGCUCUUCCUAGCUUCCCACUCGCAGCAGGGUGGAAGAGUUGGAUUGUUCACCCACCAACAGGGAACGUGAGCUGG